ACUUUGGUUUUUGUAGAUCAAAGGUGGCCGUCUCCAUGGAAGCUUCUGUUUGGAGAUGAGCCCGCGUACCAUUAGCUUGUUGGUAGGGUAAUGGCCUACCAAGGCAACGAUGGUUAGCUGGUCUGAGAGGAUGAUCAGCCACACUGGAACUGACACACGGUCCAGACUCCUACGGGAGGCAGCAGUGAGGAAUUUUGCGCAAUGGGGGAAACCCUGACGCAGCAACGCCGCGUGAGUGAUGAAGGCCUUCGGGUCGUAAAGCUCUGUCAAGUGGGAAGAACCUGCCUUUUUGCUAAUAUCAAUUGGCACUGACGGUACCACUGAAGGAAGCACCGGCUAACUCCGUG
RNAcentral lists this ribosomal RNA (347 nucleotides) under uncultured bacterium. Its description in RNAcentral is "bacterial SSU rRNA". It matches the Rfam family "Bacterial small subunit ribosomal RNA", at positions 173 to 507 of the family's 1533-position model. The record is from RNAcentral.